UUUAGGCAAGUAUUUUCAUGCAUAGUAAUUGAUUUCAUUACUUUUUGUAAUUUCUAUUGUCAAGCCCUUAAUUCCAUGUUUUCUACAUCGUUUCGGGUGUUUGGGUGAAGUCCAACAGUAUAGGAGUGCAAAAGGAAGCUUGGAAAGGUCAAAAGACUGAGUAUUGUUGCUAAUACAAAGUACACGGGUCGUGCAAACCAAGCCCCGGACCCGUGUAACCUUCUGCUAGAAAAAAGCCAAAUAGCCAAUGGAGAAACAAAAGUACAAGGGUCGUGUAAUUAAACCCGUGUCAUUUGUAGGGACCCGUGUAAAUCUUUGCCGGGCGCAAGCUUGAAGAACCUUAUGGGAACAAUAGUACAUGGCCCGUGUAACCAGGCCCGUGUAGUUGGCGCAGAUCCGUGUAACUCUCUGUACCAAUGCAAGACUCUGCAGCUCCACUCUAGCAAGUUACACAGACCUACAUGUUGGGACCCGUGUAGUGACACAUGGGCUGUGUACCUUGCGGCAGCCAUUUUUCAAACUCGAAUUCCAGCUCUUGUUUACGGAUUCAAAUCGGACUCCUAAGACUUUUGGGACUCAAAAUGACCUAACCCUAG
This 596-nucleotide unclassified non-coding RNA is filed under the name Hevea brasiliensis (rubber tree). The record is from RNAcentral. Lineage: Eukaryota; Viridiplantae; Streptophyta; Magnoliopsida; Malpighiales; Euphorbiaceae.